UCAUUUCAGUAAUUCUCUCUCAUUCUCUCUCUUACCCUCGUAUACACUGCAAGAACCAAGAACAAUCACAAACUAGUACCAACGUCCAAUCUAAGAUCACCAUCGUGAUCUUGGGAACUUCACAAGCACGGGGGUAUAAGUUUCAGGUUAAACAAAGAUCACCACGAGUCUUAGGAAGUCCCAAGGAGGCUCGGAGUGCCUCGUUUGAACAAAAUGGACGUCGGGAUCAAUGGUUUCGAGUUUGGCCGAGUUUGAGGAAUUUUGAAAAGGUGGGUCAUAUAACGAGGACGAGCAUAACCAGGGGCGUCAAGGGGGUUACGACCCGGCGACAUACCAGUUCUAGUCGAUAGUUGAGGCGUUGGUGACUUGCGAGGACUACUUCGGUGUUUCUGACAGAAUAAAUAAUGUAGGACUCACCCGAGGGUGUGGUAAAAUAGCUAUGUUCCUACUUGACUGCACCUAGAUGCUUAUGCUCUGUUUAUGUGUGUUUAGUACACUCUUAUGCACAUAGAAUGCUAGGUUGUAAACAAUUGUAUAAUUAGUGGUUUUUGUUGACUCGUAUUUUAUUAUUAAA
Malus domestica (apple) is the source of this 574-nucleotide long non-coding RNA. RefSeq lists it as uncharacterized. The record is from RefSeq and is a predicted model, not a curated record. Lineage: Eukaryota; Viridiplantae; Streptophyta; Magnoliopsida; Rosales; Rosaceae.